This 371-nucleotide ribosomal RNA is filed under the name uncultured bacterium. RNAcentral describes it as "bacterial SSU rRNA". It matches the Rfam family "Bacterial small subunit ribosomal RNA", at positions 89 to 494 of the family's 1533-position model. The record is from RNAcentral.
UACUUAGUGGCAGACGGGUGAGUAACAUGUGGGUAUCUACCCUUUGGCCUGGAAUAACACGAGGAAACUUGUGCUAAUACCGGAUAAGUCUUUACAGAGAAAGCUUUAUGCACCAUUGGAUGAGCCCGCACUAGAUUAGUUUGUUGGUGGGGUAAUGGCCUACCAAGACUGUGAUCUAUAGCUGAUUUGAGAGGAUGAUCAGCCACAUUGGGACUGAGACACGGCCCAAACUCCUACGGGAGGCAGCAGUGGGGAAUCUUGCACAAUGGAGGAAACUCUGAUGCAGCGAUGCCGCGUGAGUGAAGAAGGCCCUUGGGUUGUAAAGCUCUUUCGUCGGGGAAGAAAAUGACUGUACCCGAAUAAGAAGGUCC